AGUGAACGCUGGCGGUAGGCCUAACACAUGCAAGUCGAACGGCAGCACAGUAAGAGUUUGCUCUUACGGGUGGCGAGUGGCGGACGGGUGAGGAAUACAUCGGAAUCUACUUUUUCGUGGGGGAUAACGUAGGGAAACUUACGCUACUACCGAAUACGUUCUACGGGUGAAAGCAGGGGUUCUUCGGACCUUGCGCGAUUGAAUGAGCCGAUGUCGGAUUAGCUAGUUGGCAGGGUAAAGGCCCACCAAGGCGACGAUCCGUAGCUGGUCUGAGAGGAUGAUCAGCCACACUGGAACUGAGACACGGUCCAGACUCCUACGGGAGGCAGCAGUGGGGAAUAUUGGACAAUGGGCGCAAGCCUGAUCCAGCCAUACCGCGUGGGUGAAGAAGGCCUUCGGGUUGUAAAGCCCUGUUAUUGGGAAAGAAAAGCAGCAGGUUAAUACCCCGCUGUUCUGACGGUACCCAAAGAAUAAGCACCGGCUAACUUCGUG
RNAcentral lists this ribosomal RNA (492 nucleotides) under uncultured bacterium. RNAcentral describes it as "partial 16S ribosomal RNA". It matches the Rfam family "Bacterial small subunit ribosomal RNA", at positions 29 to 507 of the family's 1533-position model. The record is from RNAcentral.